CAAUAUAAUUGGUUGUUUCUGCAUGUUAUUCUUAUUUUUUGCCUGUUUAUUCUCAGAGUCAGUUCUAUUGGAAACUUCUCUAGUCCAUUUUCCAGACAAGAAACAUUGUAGUAUGCUUAUGUCGUAUUUGAUGGCUUAGUUAAAUAUCUCCUGCAAGUUUUGGAUGUGUUCAACUUAAGUAUAUUAGUAAGUCUUACAGGUGAUUGACUUAUAUGUGUAUGGUUAAUGUGAUUUCUCUCCCCCUUGUUGAGCAGAGUGGGGACUUCCUUCACCAAUUUCCACAUUAGCACAUAAACACAUUCCCCCUUUUUUCUCAGCAUGCAGAGAAGUGGUUAUAAAAGGAAAUUCAUAAGAAGAAACCUUACUGAAUAUCUGUAUUUGGUUGCUGGGCACUGCUGUGGCUCUGUUUGUCAAGGUGAAAAAAAAGUUGGAGACAGUCUUCUAGAGUCUACUCACCUGAGUAGCUAAUUAGGACUAUGCCACAAUAUGGUGCAAAUAGUUAAAAUAACAGUUGUUGCUUUUUUUUAUUCCAGUGGACCCCCAUUUGCCCAUAUGCUAUACCAGGUAUAUUGAGCAGGGCAAGAAAAAAAAUGUUGCCCUGAGUAAUUGGUGCAGUAAUUUGAUUCUCCUUUCCCACAUACAGAAAUAAACAAAUAAUUAUUGUUGUCACACAUAAUGUCCUUUUACUAUAUUUCAUGUUUAAUGUGGGGCUAAGAUGAAUGGGGCAGAUCACAUUCAACAGUAGUGCUGUUCCAGUCAAUUUUAUAUUUUGCUGUUGUCUUUCCAUUACCAUAGCAGCUGGACACUUCAAUUUUGAUCAAAAGUAUAACAGCUUGUUAAACGCUGUUAUAGCAUGUGUCUAUAGUCACUUAGAGGAUUUUUAAGUAAGACUUUAUAGGAUUUUUUUCUGUAAUGAAACAAUUGAAAAUGACUUGCAUUGUCAGUUCUUAGGGAUAGAACCUCAUUUCUGUUCGUAUAAAGGUUGAAAAAAUUAAGGUGCAAGGAAAUUUUUGAGUACUGGCACAUUGCCAAGGGGAAAGAAAAUAUGGACUAGUAUAUUGGUGAUACAGAAGAAAACAUAAAACAGCAUAACUUAGUACCAUGUUAUUCUUAUAUCAGUCCCCAGGUCAGCUUUGCUAUAAGGAUAAGGUAGAGAGGAAUCCGUCUUCAUGGUAGGGAAGACAUCAAGUGAUGAUAAAUUAGCAUUACCUUGGGGGGAGGAGGGGGAGGGUGGUAAAGGGGUAUUUUCAUCUCUGGACACUGAACAUGUGCCACAAAACUUGAAGCUGUGUAUGUGAGAUGCAUGAAGCUGUUUAUAUGAGAUGCAUUCACAUUUUAUUUUGGUAAGGGGCAAGAGAGGAAACAACUGUGGUUUGUAGAAGAUAUGUACACAAACAGGCAUUUUCAUUUGUUCUUGUAAGUUGUGGCAUACUUUCUUUACUUGAGAACUAAGAUUCUUAAAUACUAACAUUUCUACUUCUGAUAAAGCUGGCCUGAAAUUCUUGUAUGAGACUGUUCAGCUCUUGCAUGCAAGUUUCUUGGAAUCUCUUGAUAUAUUUUUCCCUCACAAUAUCAGCUUUUUUCAUGGGAAAGAUGAAAGGGGUGUAACAUUUCAGAUGUCUUAUGUACUUUUACACAAGUUUAUAGCACAGCAGGAGAAUGAUUUUCGGUUCAUCAAUGCUCAGUUAUGAGCUCAAGUCCUUAAGCAGGUGAAACAGUUGUGCCCUUUUUGUAGCUCUUUUUAGUAACCCAGAACUGUUGUAUCACAACUCAAGUGUAAGUCAAUCAAGGUCGCAUCAGGCAGAGUUAAGACGCUAAGAUGUUUUCCUGCAGUCUUGCCAGUAGCCCCCUCUCUAUGCCAUAGCAUUUGAAGACAUUACUGGUCGUACAAUUCAAAACAAACAAACAAAAACCACCUAAGGUUGCUAGAGUAGGUAAGAUGUUACUAACAAACUAACCAAGUUUCCAUGAGCUAUUAUCUUUAUAAGUAACAGUGUAAGUCUAAUGUAUUCACCAAAUCAAAACAACCCCCCUUUUAGCGAGGUAUCUUCUUAAUGUUAUAAUUCCAGUUAAAAUUUAAUAGUGCGUAGUGUUUUUAGAGAUUGGUAAUAACCAUGUUCUUAUUAGGUAUUUUUUUAAUUACAUAAGAAAAUAGUGCUUCCUCUUCAAAAACAAACAAACAAAACCUGCUUAAAACCUACUUUUCUUUUAGAUAAUUAUUUCAGCUUAAUAACAAGAAAACCAAUCCUGGCAGAAAAAGUGCUGUUAAAACACGAUUGUUUUUACCACACUGAAAAUCAUUGACAUACACAUUAAAGAAGAAAAGUACAAAAGUAUUCUUAAAUUUCUACUUCCAUAAUACCAUCCUAGAAGAUUGUGUUUGCCUUUCUUGGAACUUUUUCCCUGAAGGGCUAAUUAAAACAUAUGUAUAGGAACAAUUUUUCCAAUCUUUUCUCAAACUUCUGUACCUAACUCUGUAGCUGAUGACUUCCUUUCAUGAUUAGGAUCAGUAGGAGCAAUUUGUUAAUAUUUUUGUCUCAGACUUCUGCUGUUACUCUGCCACCUUGCCAGGAUGUAUAAGGCAAGCUUCAGUGCUUUAUGUUGCCCUUUUAACACUCACUGAAUACGAUGGUCGUUUUUUGGAGCCUCAUGUCUUCACCUCCUUCAAAAUAAUAUAAGCAUUCUGAAUAGUGCAACUCAGCUUUUUCAGACUGUGGGAAGCAGUCAAGUUGCAUCAACUACUGUAUAUUUAGUACUUGUAGUUAUGGCCUUGUUGCUACUUCAAUACAUUGAUAGAUAGCCCAGCAAUCUUUUAAGUCUGGAAAAUUAAACAUAACUGUUAAUACAAUUGAACUGCUUGUUUGACAUCUCUGUAUUUUAAGUGAAGUGUUCCUACUUCAAAACCACUUUAAAUUUGAUACCUAUUCAACAACCGAUUGUUUGGCUUGAGAAUAAAUUAUCUCUGUAAUUACACUUUGUCAGCUACUUAAGAACUAAUUUACAUCAGCUAGUGUAUUUGAAGCAGGGUGCUGGUGAGGUGUUUUGUCUUACAAGCCACAAGGGAAGAUGCUUCCUGCCCUUAAAACUAGAGCUUUUCUAUUAAAAGAACACAUCUUCUACUAGAAAUGCAUGCAAAGCUAACUAAUUUAAAGUACGUGAGCAGUAGGGUAAAGACGUGAGGCUCUAGCAGAACUGGAUUAGCAAGUUAACUAAGCACAGUUCUGUCCAGGUUAGUUACUCAGCACUGCCUACUGGACAGAUACAUAACUUUGCCAUAUUUACAGUUACUUCUGCCAAUCUUGCAUAUAAGCUAGAUUGUGUUUAAAUUGCAAGUCUCGAGUAUAACACUUGCACAGUU
Oxyura jamaicensis (ruddy duck) is the source of this 3358-nucleotide long non-coding RNA. RefSeq lists it as uncharacterized. NCBI's taxonomy places the organism in Eukaryota, Metazoa, Chordata, Aves, Anseriformes, Anatidae. The record is from RefSeq and is a predicted model, not a curated record. The transcript has 2 exons.